Molecule: transfer RNA, 73 nt
Filed under: Treponema sp.
Lineage: Bacteria; Pseudomonadati; Spirochaetota; Spirochaetia; Treponematales; Treponemataceae
Also listed under: 13 other names
Description: tRNA-Cys
Rfam family: tRNA
About the family: Transfer RNA (tRNA) molecules are approximately 80 nucleotides in length. Their secondary structure includes four short double-helical elements and three loops (D, anti-codon, and T loops). Further hydrogen bonds mediate the characteristic L-shaped molecular structure. tRNAs have two regions of fundamental functional importance: the anti-codon, which is responsible for specific mRNA codon recognition, and the 3' end, to which the tRNAs corresponding amino acid is attached (by aminoacyl-tRNA synthetases). tRNAs cope with the degeneracy of the genetic code in two manners: having more than one tRNA (with a specific anti-codon) for a particular amino acid; and 'wobble' base-pairing, i.e. permitting non-standard base-pairing at the 3rd anti-codon position.
Source: RNAcentral
GGCGACGUACCCAAGUUGGUAAGGGGCGAGUCUGCAAAACUCUUAUUCGGCGGUUCGAGUCCGCCCGUUGCCU